RNAcentral lists this ribosomal RNA (434 nucleotides) under uncultured bacterium. RNAcentral's name for it is "partial 16S ribosomal RNA". It matches the Rfam family "Bacterial small subunit ribosomal RNA", at positions 29 to 507 of the family's 1533-position model. The record is from RNAcentral.
AGCGAACGCUGGCGGCAGGCCUAACACAUGCAAGUCGAACGAACCUUUCGGGGUUAGUGGCGGACGGGUGAGUAACACGUGGGAACGUGCCUUUAGGUUCGGAACAACUCAGGGAAACUUGAGCUAAUACCGCAUGUGCCCUUCGGGGGAAAGAUUAAUCGCCUUUAGAGCGGCCCGCGUCUGAUUAGCUAGUUGGUUGAGGUAAUGGCUCACCAAGGCGACGAUCAGUAGCUGGUCUGAGAGGAUGAUCAGCCACAUUGGGACUGAGACACGGCCCAAACUCCGACGGGAGGCAGCAGUGGGGAAUCUUGCGCAAUGGGCGAAAGCCUGACGCAGCCAUGCCGCGUGAAUGAUGAAGGGCUUAGGAUUGUAAAAUUCUUUCACCGGAGACGAUAAUGACGGUACCCGGAGAAGAAGCCCCGGCUAACUUCGUG